AACGGAGGGAGCUAGCGUUGUUCGGAAUUACUGGGCGUAAAGCGCGUGUAGGCGGCUUUGCAAGUCGGGUGUGAAAGCCCUCAGCUCAACUGAGGAAGUGCGCCCGAAACUGCAGAGCUUGAGUGCCGGAGAGGGUGGCGGAAUUCCCCAAGUAGAGGUGAAAUUCGUAGAUAUGGGGAGGAACACCGGUGGCGAAGGCGGCCACCUGGACGGUAACUGACGCUGAGACGCGAAAGCGUGGGGAGCAAACAGG
Molecule: ribosomal RNA, 253 nt
Filed under: uncultured bacterium
Lineage: Bacteria
Description: partial 16S ribosomal RNA
Rfam family: Bacterial small subunit ribosomal RNA
Source: RNAcentral